GGCUGAAAUGCAGUGGUAGUGUGAUCAUAGCUCACUGUAACCUUAAAUUCCUGGGCUCCAGCAAUCCUUCUGCUUCAGCUGCAUAGCUGGGAAUGCCGGCAUGUACCACUAUGCCCAGAUUAUUUUUAUAGAGACAGGGUCUCGCUAUGUUGCCCAUAGAACUCUUCUCAAGUGAAUGGACUUUAUUUGGAAUGAAGCGUGAGGAAAUUAAAGACUAAGGAUGCUCUUGAAAACAAUGGAGAUUGUGGGGAUAAGCAUUUACAAGGAAUCUGGUAGCCUCAUGAGAUAAACAAAUUACCAGCUAGUUCACCAGAGAGAACCAGGGAAAGAGACAGCUAAGAAGACAGUUAAAGACUGGCCUCAGGGGCCAGGCGUGGUGGUGCAUAUCUGUAAUCCCGGCCUUUUGUGAGGCUGAGGUGGGUGGAUUGCUUGAACUCAGGAGUUUGAGACCAGCCGGGGC
RNAcentral lists this long non-coding RNA (460 nucleotides) under Pan troglodytes (chimpanzee). RNAcentral's name for it is "long non-coding RNA NONPTRT013126". Lineage: Eukaryota; Metazoa; Chordata; Mammalia; Primates; Hominidae. The record is from RNAcentral.